CAUUACUGAGUGAGGGCCUUCUGGUCCGACCUCCAACCCCAUGUUAUCCGACACUGUUGCCUCCGGGGCGACCCGGCCUUCGGGCGUCGGGGCCCCGGGUGGACCAUUCAAACACUGCAUCUUUGCGUCUGAGUACACGAUUGAAUCAAUCAAAACUUUCAACAACGGAUCUCUUGGUUCUGGCAUCGAUGAAGAACGCAGCGAAAUGCGAUAAGUAAUGUGAAUUGCAGAAUUCAGUGAAUCAUCGAAUCUUUGAACGCACAUUGCGCCCCUUGGUAUUCCGAGGGGCAUGCCUGUUCGAGCGUCAUUUCACCACUCAAGCCUGGCUUGGUAUUGGGCGCCGCGGUCCGCCGCGCGCCUUAAUGUGUCCGGCUGAGCCGUCCGUCUCUAAGCGUUGUGGUAACCUAUCCGCUUGCGAGAUCGGGGGGCGUCUGGCCGUUAAACUCACCCAAAGGUUGACCUCGGAUCAGGUAGGGAUACCC
RNAcentral lists this ribosomal RNA (482 nucleotides) under uncultured Ascomycota. RNAcentral's name for it is "eukaryotic LSU rRNA". The stretch from base 154 to 307 matches the Rfam family "5.8S ribosomal RNA". Lineage: Eukaryota; Fungi; Ascomycota. The record is from RNAcentral.